GCCGCUCUGAGACGGAUCUGAGUUCACGGAAGAAAAAGAAGGAAAGAAAGAAAGAAGCACAGAAAUUAGGAAGACAAGAAGGAAGACAUCCAGGGAAAAUGGACUGGAAAAGCAGAUCAAGACAAGCUUAGUUAUGUAAUAAAUGGACUUCAUACUCACACUCCCAUCA
Molecule: long non-coding RNA, 169 nt
Organism: Lates calcarifer (barramundi perch)
Lineage: Eukaryota; Metazoa; Chordata; Actinopteri; Centropomidae
Exons: 2
Source: RefSeq, a predicted model, not a curated record